Long non-coding RNA from Crotalus tigris (Tiger rattlesnake), 9369 nucleotides. RefSeq lists it as uncharacterized. The record is from RefSeq and is a predicted model, not a curated record. The transcript has 2 exons. NCBI's taxonomy places the organism in Eukaryota, Metazoa, Chordata, Lepidosauria, Squamata, Viperidae.
CAAGAAAACAAAAUGCAAGGUUCCAAUAUUAAAGGGGCGGCAUCGAACUCUGGCCUGGCUGUGACUCAUCGGUGUAAAUAUUUUGCGGAUUUAUUUGACAGUUGUGUAACACUAUCCACCGUCGAAUGUGAUGGUCAGAGAAACCUGUGUCAUUCUAGAUGUGCUGAAUAUCAAAAACAAGAGCUAUGCAGUUAAACUUUGCACCUCAGGAAAAGUGUCAAGUCCACUAAGCAUCACUAGCAUGGAGGCAACAUGUAUAAGAAUUUCUUAAAAAGCAAAUAUUCUUCUCCUGCUUGAACUUGUACAAUAUUUGUUAUUAUAUUUUAGUUAAGACUCAUAUUUAUUACAAAGCAGCUGCUCUUAGUCUAGAUAAUUGAGAACCUGCAUUCCUUGUGAGAACAGGCCCAAAUUUCUGAAUUUUUGAAGGCUGCCAAUCUGUUCCUAGAAAAUGUCAUUAUGACUCCAUGGAUGUGAAUGGAAUAUAUUAGAAAUUAUAAAAGGCAAAUAUUAAAAAUUUAAACCAUUGUUCAAUGUUUGAGACAUUUUUGAACAAAAAUCAACUGAGAAUUUAAAAGGGCAGUAAGAACACUUAUGAUCUCUUCCACUCACUAUUCAUUCUUUGCUGUCUUUCUUGCCUAGCUGUAGAUCUACCUUGUCAGUAUUGUGUCUUGAAAGCUGCAUGUCAUUCUUCAGUUCAACCGAUCAUGACAAAUAUAAAUGGAAAAAAUAAAUGAAGAGGGGGGAAACCAAUAAUAACACUAAUAUCUGGUAGUGCUAUCAGUUAUAGUCCUUCAUACCUAAGCGGCCUUACUGGUAAAUGAGAAGUACCUUUGGAGAAAGGAACUAACAACUGUUUCUGAGUGCAUCAACGUCUAGAGCAGGCAUGUCAAACUUGCAACAUCACGUGACAUCGCGCGACGUAUCGGAACUUUUUCUCCAUUGCCGGCAAUGGGGUGGGCGCGGUUUUGGGAUGACGUGUCCGGCCCACAGGCUGGCAGUUUGACAUCCCUGCUCUAGAGUUAAAUAUGGUAUUUUGGCAAUGUAUUAAUGUCCCUUUCUUGAAAUUACAUUUCUAGUUCUAAGUUCUCACUGUUACUUUUAGUUUAAGUUACAAAUAUUAGACGAGAUACAAAACAUUCACAUCCUUAGAUAAUCUCUCUAGAGGAGUAGAAACCUAUAAGCAUACUGCUUCUGAAAAAAAUAAUUUCAAUUCUGUGUGACAGACAUUAUGUCUCUUUUUACAGUGGUCUAGCUAGUGAUCCAGUCAUGCUGCUCUGAAAAAAACAAUAGCUGGAUGAAUAUACAAGGGCUAGAACCUUACUUACCACCCUCCUUCCACCUCUCCCAAAGCAACAAUAGUCUGCAUUAUAAAAUGUGAUUCACCUAAGUAGCAGCUAUUUUGUAAAAAGGAAAACUACAUUGUGAUAAUUGGUGUUUACUUGCUAAUAGACUGAUAGUUUGGGGCAAUAUUAUAGGGAACUUUCUUCUACUAUAAAGGUUUUAAUGUUUGCUCCCAGUCUGUGAAUAUAGACAUUUUAAAAUUUACAUUAAAAUAUGAACUCGUGGUUGAAACAAAUUUGGUUACCAAAUCUCAUGCUGCUGACAAGACAGGAUAAUUAUUAUUUUUCCAAUCAGCUGCUAAAAAUAUUUUCACUAUGACCAUAGCCAUACUAGGACAUUUCUUUGCACGUAUUUGAAAAUUUAAAAAAUAACUAUAGUUCAAGACAUUUUCAACAGUGAUGGCUUGCUACUAUUCUAUAAGAUAUAUAUUUAGGCCUGCAAUGUUAUGCACUUACCUUACAGUAAAUUUAAUUCAGUUCAACAAGGCCUAUUUCUGAAAUGCAUCAAAUUGUACUACAAAGUGUUAAAGACUAAUACAUAUUUCUUGUAUUCAACCAGGACAUCAGUAGUGAGAUUUGAAGAGUCUCCAGUUUCUUUCCAAGCACAGUUUGUGCAUUAGGGAAUUGAUGCCAAGCAAGAUGUCCAUAUUUUCUCCACAUUUUGUCUUUCAGUUCUCUGCAGGGAGAACUGAUUUGAAAUAUGUUGGAAAGGAUGUCAAAAAUUAUUUUGCCAUUGUAUGAUAAAAAAUUACAUAAAAUACAAUCCUUUGGAAAACAUCUCUACAUACAAAUCAUAAUAGAAAAGUGGGUGUGUCAAUUUGCAAUCCUAUCUUAAAAAUGUGGCAGUGAGUUUAUAAUUUAUGGAAAAGAAAUGUUAUCAUUUUUUUCUUAGUGACUGUUAUAGAUUUCAUGUAGUGCAAACUAACUCAGAAUAAUCAGCCUCAGAAGUAUCACUUACAAUGUUCUAAAACAUUAUUUAUUUAUUAAAUUUCUAUACUGCCCAACACACCUCCUAGGUAACUCCGGAUGGUUUACAUUGCUAUCUGAUACUUCUACUAAAAAACAAUAAUCUGAAGCAAACACAUUCCUUAAUAAAGGUACUAUACUUCCAGCACUGAGAUGGUACUGUAUAUUAUUUUUUACAUGUAAAAUUAUAGCUUUUGCUAGGCAGGGACCACAAAAACACAAUUAUUUAUAUUUAGUCUCACACAAUUGGAAUGAAUUAUAGAAAAAUGUUCCUAUUCUAUAAAUAAAUAAUUGACCCCUGUGCUCCAAUAAUGAUGACUCCUUCACUCAUCUCCAUUCUCUGUAAUUUAUUUAAAUAUGGAGAUUGCACUUAUUAAAAAGCCGCUUGAACAGCGUGUUUGAAAAAUUGCAGUACUUUAUCAUGUAUUAGUCAUCAGAGUAAUAUGUGCAGAUUUUGUUGUGUGCACAAUGUAGAUGCACAGAAUUCAAAAUCAAGUGUUAUGAUGUGCAUAUACAUGCACAACAACUAAUCUUAAGAAAAUCUGCUUGGAAGUUACCUAUUAUUUCAGCAAGUAUGUACAAAAUAUGCAGCUUGUUACAUGUAAGGUACCUUUAUGAUGGUUUAAUCUGACAUACAAUCAACUAAAAAGCAAAAGAGCUCAGAUAUUUUAUCAGUGUGUUUAUCAGUAUGAAAGAAUUAGGCAGUCCAAUUAUAAUAAACCAUCAUUUUCUUAUAGGUCUGUAUAAUUUAUCAAUAGCCUUAUUCUUUUAGCACAGAGUGCUGUACUAUGGUUGGCAAGAUAAGUCAGCAUGGUUGAAUUUAGCUGAAGUUAAAUUUGAAAGAACUGAAGGGAGAACAGUUUAUGCAGAAAUAAUUUUUUUAAAAAACAUUGCUCAUGAUAACUCGGACAACUGCUAACUACAGAUUAUGGCAGAAUGUGGACUAAGUGGCCUCAUGACUGCCAAUCAUGGAGGCAGUGGAUUUAAUUGAGUUUUCAAAAAACACUGGCAGUGUACCCAAGAUUGCUUGGCAGGCCACACGUACCCGAGUCAUAUGUUAUAGAGGGAUACUAUAUAGCCUCAAAAGUCUGGUUCAGUUCCAAGCAUUCUAUCUUUUUGUGAUAGUUAAAGUGCAUGAAUGGGUGGUGGUAAAAUAGCUUCUUUAGAGUUAGCUCCUGUAGUGAGUACAGCACAUGGCCUUGGAGGGCAAAGGGAAGAUCUGUUACCUAGGCAACAAUUAGAGAAAUGAGACUUGAAGUCAAGAAGGAAUUUAGGAAAAUGCCUCAAACAAGUUAAAAGUUAAGUCUUAUUUUGCUCCAGGCUAUUCUUACAAUGUCUAUUCUCUAGUCUUAUAUUGUUACCUGAAACAUUCUGGUCAAAGACUAUUUGCUUCAUUUACAGUAAACCAGCAUGUUCUACUUGAAUCAGCUGCAUUUUCUUUGGGGAUUCUUUGUUUAGUUGUAUGAGUUGUUUUUCACCCAAAUUAACAAUUAUGUCAUAUAUAUUUUACAAAACUGAAUGUGUGAAUAUUUAUCUUGAAAGCAGAAUGGAAUAUUAUGUUUUAUAUCUUCUUUAAUAGUAGAUAUUAAGAGGGGAGACUGAGUAGAAUCCUCUAUCAACAUACCUCUGUUUCAUAUAGCCAGGUAGUAGCAUUUUAGAAUUUAUUUCAACCUUUGAAUUUUAAUCACCAAUGAAACAACACAAGUUUAAGAGCCCUGCCCCUUUCACAUGCCAAAUAGGAGAAAGUUAUUAGGUAAAACACAUCUUACAGGAGGAAACAGGGACAAACACACUAUUCUGGUAUGAAGAACUAGAAUGAUUUUGAGAGAUGAUGCCUGAAAUCUCUGGUGUUCUAUGAGCUCACCUGUUUGCUACACUCAAUUUUGAAUAUUUUUUAUCAAGGUACAGACAAUGGUAAUAAAAUCCAUGGUCUAUAAUUUAGAAAUAUUGAGUAAUACAUUGCAAGUCAUUCUAUUCUUUGCAGCAGUACAAGUCUUGGGCACUCAAGUCUAAGAGUAGCCAAUCAAAUGCGCCAAGCUUCUAGGAUAAAGUGUUCAAGUAAGAUCAAUUUAAUAUCCAUUAUAAAUCUUGCUUUAUCUGAAAUAAUUUCAAUUGAAUGUAUUUAUAAAGAUGCCUCCAUUCAUAAUUCUUUUUCAUUAAAUUGAGGAAAGAGAGAAGAAAGGAAAUGAAUACAUAGAUAACAGCAAUUUAAAAGAAAGGAUGUGCAUUCAACAUCCAGGUGAAAUAAAUUUGACAUUUUCAGCAUGAGCAGACAUCAGAGACAAAUAUGUUGAUAACAGUAACUACAUUAUUUAAAUUUUGAAGUAAAUAUAUAUGAGACUGCAUUACACUGAGCCAUAAUUUUGGAACAUCUAAUCCAGUAUUGUUAAAUAAGUGUAAGUAAUUGUCUUUCAAACACAUCUUCUUGAUUUUAUAUCACUAGGAUGCCUAGUGAAACUGGCGGUGGGGGGUGGGAGAUGUCAUCUUGUAAUUUCUGUAAUUGCUGUUGUAUAUCUUAUUGAAGACAGAUGACAAUUCAAAAGAGUAAAUAAAACAUGUAAGAUUGUGAAAUCAAUCUUCUUUCAUCAAUCCUAGGCAUUUUUAGAAAUAUAGGACUAACUUAAAGUUACAAAUUUGAUCAGUAAUAUGCUACUUCAGCUGAAAAGCAGCCUUUGUAAUAUCUACAUUCAGACAUAGAUAAACAGUUAAGUAGAAUCAAAUGUCCCCAGAAUUUUGAUAUGGAGAAACUAUUUUGAUGAUAACAUUCAUAAGUCAUAUCAGAUACUUCAGACACAUGCCUACCAAGGUGGCUAACUGCUUUUCUAACAAGAUUGUGAAAUUAGAGAAGAUUUUAAAUAACCAUUAGCAUACUUUCCAAAUGUUUGCAUCAAAUACUAAAUGUCAUCAUUUUAUAAGAACGCAACAUUAAUGCCAUUGAAAAUAGUUUCUAAUAAAAUCUGUUAUCACAAAAGGUGGCAAAAUGUACUCAAAAGCAGCUUCUUUAUUACAGGGUUUGAAGUAUACAUACAUACCUCUCCAGUGCAAAAUAGUCCCACAGCACUACUGACUCUCAGUUCCCCACCCUUUCCAAAACAAUACCCGCUACCUGGGGACAGCUAUAAUGACAAACAAAAUCAAGCAAGCAUUAAGAAAUAUGCACAAUGUUUGAUAUUAUCUCUAUUCAGGAGCAAUUGUAGUUUUAACAUUAGAAAACAAGUAAAUCAUGAAUCACCACCACAUAAACACUCUCAGAAUUUUCACUAAUACAUGCUCUAAUUUGAAUUUCACUGCUUACGAGCAAUUGCAUGUAGUUGCUAAGCUUGUAUUUUAAGCUUACAAGUAUGAACUUCAAGAGGUUCAAAAUAUUAAUUUCAAUUGUAGGAAUGAUCCUCCCUCCUUAAAAUUGGAUUUAAAGUCCAAUUUUCUCUCUAAACACUUCCUCAAUGUUCUUCUAAUUUAUAGGCAUACCCCAGAUCACUUCUCUUCAAUACUUAUGUUGUACACUCAGAGGUAGCAAGCUACAGAAAGAAAGAAGGCAUGGAAAGUCUCCCUCCCUAUCAUCUGAGCUAAUGUCCAAGAAUCUAGCACAAACCUGAAUGGGAAAGAAAAAAGAUCCAUCAUUUAUCCAUUUUACAGCAUAUACUGCCUAUUAUAUCAGCAAAACAUAGAGGGGUAGAGAAAAAGAAAUAUUGGCAUUUAUGGGAAUCAUAUAAAUUCAAGUGCCUCCAAAAUAAAAUGAACAAUUUCACAAAUGCAAAUUAGAUAGCUAACAUAUCUAAUUGCAUGUUCCUACAUAAGCACUAACUAAAGUUAAUACGGCACUUUAUUUUUUAUUGGCAGAUUUAAAAACAAAUAAACAAAAUAAGCUUACUGGAAAAGGAACAAAAUAAGAAUACUGUUGACAAAUAUAAUAUUUGGGGGGGAAGAAAAGUUAAACUGCUAUUAAAAUCAUUGAAUACUUUUAGGCUAAACUCUUCAAAGUUGAUCAACCACUCCAUUUUCAGAUAUUCUAACUGAUUCAAGAUUAAAUUCAAAGGAUAAUUCAUAUUAAAAUACACCUGCAUAUUCUACCACUAUCCUAUACACCUUCUAAUCUAAGCAGACAUCAAAACACAGAAGGGAUGUAUUAGGUAUUCAUUAAUGUUUUUUUAGGAUAUGGGACAUUAGAUAUGACUGCAGAGAGACUGAACCUUUGUCUUCCUAAUAAAGAAAGCCCAUACUGGAAAUUGUAACAGAAGUUGUGCAUUUUGACUCACAAUGUUACUGUUUCCAAGUAACUAUACUUCACUAGAUAUUAUGUUCCAAUUCACUGUCACAAACAAAUGUAAGUAGCACCGUCAACCCUGACUUAGCAAGCAGGGAUAGGCAAUGCUUUAGAUUUGACUCUUUAAAAAAUGCUUCAGAGCACAUAAGGCCAGGAACAUGGCAGCUGCUUGCAGCCCUUUAAAGUAGACUCAUCUUUCCCCAGGAUCAUGGUAGCUGUAGGGAACAGCCAUGUGAUCCCACAAAAAAAUGCAAUUUCUUUAAAAAGGUGCAGAUAGAUGCUACAUUUAUGCUCCAAUGUUCCAUUUCCAAUUUAUGUUUACACCAGUGUACCACCCUAAUAAGGGCUGAUAUAUAGCACACAUAAUGCAAAAGCCCAUCCAGUCUUCAUCUAAUGAGAAUAUUGGUAUCUCAUUUGAACUUAUAAGUAACUAUUGGUCAGUAUCUAACUACAAAUCCAGAAUACUGCUUGUACUGUUCCACCAAAUGUAUAAAUCUAAAAAUAUGCAAGUUCAACAAAUUCUUGCAAAUGUUGAGCUGCUUCUGAAACUGUGAAGGACCAGAAAUGUAUAUAUAAAAAUAAAAUCCACAGAUAAGCAAUACACCUUUCUUUGGAGAAAGUACCUAAUCUCCUGAACAUCUGAUGGCCAAAAUUACUAAACAUUUUUAUAGGGAAAGAAUGACCUUUCACAUGAUUUUAUUGUCACUGCCAGCAAUUCUUAAUUUCCAUAUGUAAAGUUAAGAGUUUUGUAAAUAAAGACCAAAACAAUCUGUAUUUUAAUGGACAAAUCCAGCAAUCAUUGAAGGAUUAAGAUGUUUAAAGUCCAAUAUGGUGACCAACUUGCCUACUUAGAAUGAACUGUAUUUGAAAAUUCUCUUUCUUGAUGCAUGUUCUGGCAAUAUGGGAAUUUCCAGUGUAAUUAGAAAUGUGAAAAAGUGAGUUGAUAUAAUGCAUUUUCAUUGUAUUACUAGUUUCUUGGCUCGUUAUUACAGAGUACCUGAGAUGCUGGGAAAGCAUGAAUAUAGUGCAUUGAAAGGAGGUGAAAUAGUGAAUUUUAGUAAACAGGAGGAAGUUUACCAAUAAUCCAGACAGUUUAUACCCCAGGAGACGCAUCUUCCAUUUCCAGUUCAGAAGUUAAACAUCAGCAACUCAGUGCAGUUGUAUAAACAGCAUCAAUUCAUCCCACAUUAAACUACUUUCUUGGCACAAUUUAUUUUUCCUGGCCCAAACAAACAAGAAAUCACUAUUAGAAUAUCAUUAACAAUAUUCUAUUCUAAAGUGUCAGUUUAACAGCCCUCUAAAAACAUUUUAGAGUUUUAAAAAAGUGUGCAUUCUAUAGAUAUUAAAACUGCAGUCACUCCAUCAGGAGUCUCAGUUCUCUUUCAAACAAUUCUCUGUGUCCUAAUCAGUUCAAUGAGACACAAAACCUUCAGUUAAAGGCAAUAGUUUGCUAUUGUGGAAAGUGUCACACAUAUACUUAGUAAAAUAAAUUAUUAUUAUUGUAUUGUAUACUUCAAGACAUUAAUUAAGCUCAUUCAGCUAAAUUUUAUUAUUUGUUAAAAUGAAGGGCAAUAAAGUGGCAUAACAUAAUUUUUCAUUUGUUUGAGAUCAAGUUUAAGCCACUUUUUUCAAUGCACCUUUCAGCACAUACUGUGUAUUGCUUUUAGUUUCAAUGAUACCAUAUUAAGGAAUGCUAUCCUAUUAACAGAAAGUAGGGAAUUAAAAAAUAAGAAAUAUUAUUGGUUUUAUAGCAACUGUCCAUUGAAGAAACUAUACUAAUUUACUUUUCAUCAGGCUGCAUGACUAUUUCAGAAUAUUUUAAAUGUAUUUUAAGCAUAUAAGGGAAAGGAAGAAUUAUCUAUUAAACUGGAGUACUGCAGGUUUAAUUUCACAUCUUGGCUAUACUGUGACAAAGAAGUAGUCACCAAAUAUAGCAACUAGGUCCUGUCUCAAGCCAGGGAUGAACUAAUGCCCCUCCCCAAAUCUACCCAGAUCCACCCCCUCCCACAGCCCUUUCCAAAAACAAGACAACACUGUUGGCAAAUCAAGACAGUAUGAAACAUCAACAGAAAUAAAAAUGCGAUGUGUGCCAAUGCAUCAGGUUAACUAUCCUAUUAAAUGACACAGAUCCCCAUACAAACAAUUCUACUUGGGACUAGCUGUACCUUUGCUGCUUAAGAAAUUAAGUCUACAAUUUUGAGUGUGCUCCAUGAUACAAUAUUACAGACAAAGGAGACUAGACACUUGAAAUUUUUCCCUGGGAAUUCUUUUCAGGGACAUAAGGUGACUGUCCCACCAAGAGGUGACACUCAAAGUACAAUCCAAUGCUUUUAGUACAAAUUACAAUAUCCAGUUCAGUAAGAUGUAAGGCAUAUGGACAAAAAAAAAAAGACACCAGCAGUUUGCAACAGGAAGAUAAAUCAUUUUACACUAUUAAAAGCAUUAGUGCUUGAUGUUCCAGUUCACAUUUUUAAAAUCAUUUCAAAUCCCUGAUUCCUAUUUACUGAAGUUGGAAUUCAUUAAGCUUCUGAACCCAUAUGCUUUUGAAUGAAGAAUGAUCAAUUCUUUGUGCUUCUGUCCAUUGUUACAUGACAUACUGAUUGAAACUAUGGAAAGAAUUGAGCACCAGGGAUGCUUUGCAAGUCUCCUUCAAGUCUCAUUGUAUUAAGUUUGGGUCAGGGAACAGGAUGCAGGGAAUGAAACUGGCCCAGCCACUAGCACUAUCAUAAAGAAAUGCUUUUAAAGAACAAGGCAGACAAGUUUAUGAAGCCCUCUUUAUAGAAGUAGCUUGUGUUUUUU